AUGGCGCAUGGUGAAGGGUCUGUUCCUUCCAAUGAACUAUCAAUUUGUCAGUUAGCUGAGCGGCAUCUAUAUGAGCCUAAUACUAGUGAAGAGGUCAACCCAGUGAUCAGACAGCAGGUGCUCGCACAUGCGGAUUUGACGCGCCAUCCUCGUGGUUGGAAUGUGGGGUCUACCCUUAGUGACUAUUCUUUUCAUCCACUAGCACCUUAUCCUAAACCUGAUCAUGAAGCCUACACCCUAGGGACAAGGAUGGUAGCAAAAGGUCUAGGUUGGGAUGGUCACACAGCCGAGUAUGUUCCGCAACCCAAAGGCUAUGUUGAGUGGGGCAUCUCUAUAUUGAAUAACCACUCGUUUUGUUUGAAAGGAGAAGCGGAGAACACCGAUUACAUAUAUGGGGCCAUUUAUUGCUCCCUCGGUGAAUAUGAAGUUUCAGAUUCGUUACUGAGGUCACUACUGGAACGAUGGGAUCUAGAAACAAAUACUUUUCUUUUUUCAUCUGGUGAACGCACCGUGACUCUGCUUGACAUGCUUCUAAUGUCGGGUCUUCCUUCAGUUGGAGAUCCAUACGAGGAAUAUGUUCCCUCUAUAGAUGACCUAGAACCUUCAAAGCUUAUGUUCCCAAAUUUCUUAUCCGGCCUUUUAGAAGAAUUCUAUCAGCUCAGCCGCGAAAAUGGAAGUGUGACUUUUCAAGUCUGGAUCAGUAUGCACCCCAUUGCUCCCUCUUAUGAGAUAAGAAUUUGGCCAGUGCAUUAUAUCGCGGGGUGGAUGGGUCUUUAUCUAAGAAAACCAUUUAAGGACAAAGUGAAAGGGAAACAUCUUCCAGAUGUUAAGCAAUUGCUGAUUCAACCAACCAUGUUGCAAAGGUCCUUCACCAUUUCUUCACAUCGGGGUAUGCUUCCAUGGAGGCGUGCUACUGAUGUUGAUGAUCUUUGCAUAGCGGAGCCAUAUCAUCCUGAUCGAGUUGCACGACAACUUACUUUGAGACAACAAGUGCCCUAUGCUCCGUUGAUCAGCGUGUACACAAAGGAGGAUACUGGCAUUGCAUAUGCGUAUUGGUCGCAUUUGUUACGCUCGGACCAAGGAGAGUUCCAGUACCUUCUUAAUGAUGCGCAUGAGGCAUUUUCUUCUGUGGCCUGGAACAAGUGGUGGGAAGUCUCUGCCGGGGGUAAGGAGGAACAUAUUGCAGCCAUCAAAUUGAAUGGAAAGAGAAUUAUGGACCACUGGCGUCCCAUUUUGUGUGGCUUUCUCUCAAAUGAUGAACCUUUAAUUAACUCUAAAAAGAAGAAGCGAAAGGUUAAGGAUGCUGUCGCUACUCAACCCAUGAAAUCUAAAGAGCAAAGUGGCGUACCAAAGUCUGUUGUUGCAGUUGGUUCUUCCUCUGCUCAUCCAUUGCUAGUGGGUAGUGAUGAUCUUCCGGAAACUGCCCCGGCCACCGGCGGACAGAAGCAUUUUGGCCAUGUUCUCACUGGAGAAAAGGACCAUGGCCUUGGUGACCUCUUCAAUUUAUCCGUCGAGGAUUAUACCAUUGGCGAGUGUGGCAUAAGUCGUCCAUUUUCCAGCCCGGGUUGCGACCAAGAAAUUCGCCACUCACAAGACCCUGAGGUGAUGGUUGUAUCAGGGAAAGGCGCACAGAUGGACUGCAGUUUCAUCAAGGACACGUUUAUGGAUGCUACAGAUUUUGUAGUGAAACGAGCCCUCGAAGGACUGAACGACUCUACCCUUGGUGAUCCCGAGGGACGCACCAUGCUUGAGAGCGUUUCUCAAAUGCUGCCCACGCAAUUGGAGGGUGGCCAGACUGAAUUCACGAAGGAAUCCGAGCGAGAUGAACAUGUUGUUGCUGAAGUAGAACUUAAGAUUAAGUCUGGCCAUGAGGUUUCCAAGGCCACAAUUGAGGACUUAUCUGACGUAGAAAAGAAGUGCACUGAAAUGGAGGCACGGGAAGCAGAGCUGAAGGCUCAUCUUGAAGAGGUUACUGCUACUUUGCACAGGCUUAAAUUGGAAAUGGAACAGCGCCGACAAGCACAUGAUGACCAUCAAUCUGAACAGAAGAAGUUGGUGAAGAGUCUACAGGAUACCAAUGCUGGCAAACGUACAAGGCUUGCUGAAUUUAAACAAAAGACAACAGAUUUAAAGACUCAAGCAAGUCAGUUGUUGAACAACCUGCAGAACUAG
RNAcentral lists this ribosomal RNA (2172 nucleotides) under Triticum aestivum (bread wheat). Its description in RNAcentral is "partial small subunit ribosomal RNA". Lineage: Eukaryota; Viridiplantae; Streptophyta; Magnoliopsida; Poales; Poaceae. The record is from RNAcentral.